CCACGACGACAUGUUAGGAUUUUGAGUGACAACGAUGCUUCUCCAUUUGAGCGUUCUGUCCUGGAGUCUGUGCUUCAUUUGCCCUCUACAGAAGCUACUGAUUGCGUGGAGAAUGUUGUCAAUGAGAAUUCUUCCGUGGAAAGCAUGUCCCAUUUAUCCAAUGCAGAAGCUGCGAAUUGUGUCGAAAACAGUGCAGUUGGUUCUCAAGUAAUUGAUUGUGGUAUACAGUCGAAAGUAGAAAUUGAAGACAAGGUGUCCGAAACUUGCAAUUUUUCUCAGACAUUGUGCACGAAUUAAAACGUAAACUGAAGUGUGUCUGUGAAAAACUUCGAAGAAGAGAGAAGAAAGUGUUUUCCAUGGAUGACACCAUAAGUUCAUCGAAGGAG
This is a long non-coding RNA of Schistocerca piceifrons (Central American locust), 386 nucleotides long. RefSeq lists it as uncharacterized. The transcript is spliced from 3 exons. The record is from RefSeq and is a predicted model, not a curated record. NCBI's taxonomy places the organism in Eukaryota, Metazoa, Arthropoda, Insecta, Orthoptera, Acrididae.